GCCCUGACAGCUCAGUCUGUAGAGCAUGAGACUCUUAAUCUCAGGGCCAUGGGUUCGGGCCCCAUCUUGGGUG
RNAcentral lists this transfer RNA (73 nucleotides) under Mesocricetus auratus (golden hamster). It matches the Rfam family "tRNA". From Rfam's summary of the family: Transfer RNA (tRNA) molecules are approximately 80 nucleotides in length. Their secondary structure includes four short double-helical elements and three loops (D, anti-codon, and T loops). The record is from Rfam by way of RNAcentral. Lineage: Eukaryota; Metazoa; Chordata; Mammalia; Rodentia; Cricetidae.